UCCUGGCUGGCUCAGUCAGAAGAGCAUGAGACUCUUGAUCUCAAGGUCAUGAGUUCAAGCCCCACACUGGGUG
Molecule: transfer RNA, 73 nt
Filed under: Canis lupus familiaris (dog)
Lineage: Eukaryota; Metazoa; Chordata; Mammalia; Carnivora; Canidae
Also listed under: 1 other name
Rfam family: tRNA
About the family: Transfer RNA (tRNA) molecules are approximately 80 nucleotides in length. Their secondary structure includes four short double-helical elements and three loops (D, anti-codon, and T loops).
Source: Rfam by way of RNAcentral